CCCUUGAUCUUAGUUGCCAGCAUUCAGUUGGGCACUCUAAGGUGACUGCCGGUGACAAACCGGAGGAAGGUGGGGAUGACGUCAAAUCAUCAUGCCCCUUAUGACCUGGGCUACACACGUGCUACAAUGGAUGGUACAAAGGGCUGCAAGACCGCGAGGUCAAGCCAAUCCCAUAAAACCAUUCUCAGUUCGGAUUGUAGGCUGCAACUCGCCUACAUGAAGCUGGAAUCGCUAGUAAUCGCGGAUCAGCAUGCCGCGGUGAAUACGUUCCCGGGCCUUGUACACACCGCCCGUCACACCACGAGAUUUGUAACACCCGAAGUCGGUGGAGUAACCGUAAGGAGCUAGCCGCCUAAGGU
RNAcentral lists this ribosomal RNA (359 nucleotides) under Priestia megaterium. RNAcentral describes it as "bacterial SSU rRNA". It matches the Rfam family "Bacterial small subunit ribosomal RNA", at positions 1102 to 1463 of the family's 1533-position model. Lineage: Bacteria; Bacillati; Bacillota; Bacilli; Caryophanales; Bacillaceae. The record is from RNAcentral.